GCGCUUCACGUCAGUCAGACCUGCGCUCCUCUACCUCGCUAAGCCGGCCGCCGAAACGAAACCUCUCUCUCCGCAUUUGCAGCAACGGAAGCAUUUUUCUUCAGACCACCUUCCUUGGGGCCUCACCCUGUGGUCAAGAGACCCUCGAGCUCAACCUGAAGAAGCGAAAGUAGCAGACGCUGUCACAUGUGCAAGGAAAAGAUGUCUACCCCAGGGGAAGCCGUGUCACACGCGUUUCCUACGCGGCAGCCUCGAAGCACGCGCUGGCGCCCACCACAACGUGGAUUCCUUCCUGUGAGGAACAAGCGGGGCCUCUGCAAACUCUUGUUUGAAGAGCCGUUCUCCACAGGCUGCAGCUACCAAGACCAUCCUGUAAUUCCUGGUUCUUUUCAUUGCUUCCCUAGCCUGUAAUUCAGUUAAUUAUUUAUUAAUUUAGUUCUGCCUUCUGGUUAGUAAAACAUGAGGUUUCUUCAGCUACAUCACUAACCACUUAGAAGGAUUAUUUGCAAUCUGGUUAGUGUCCACUUUACGUUUUCUGGGUUUUUAAAUAGAAAAACUCCCUGUGACAUUGAAACUGGGUAAGGAAAGGGCAGGUUGGUUACGUGCGAUGCUCACCCGUCUCCAAGCACAAGCAAACACUGGGUGCGUCAGCCACACAGCUGGUCCGGCAGGAUCACGAGCAGCCGGGAAGUCCAACUCGGGGACACGGACAGGGCCAGCCACCAAACCCGUGCUUAAAACCAUCGUAACGAUAUAUUUUUACUCAUGGAUACGAAGGACAGUGAGGAACAGCCGUGUCCCUGAAGCUGCUUUCAUAAGAAGGUUUUCAAAACUAAACAAAAAUGAAACUCAAGGACAAAACAUGUGUUUGAUAAAUACUGCUUUCUGUUACUCCAACCUCAGGGAUAAACUUGGAGAGGAGCCACCCUGCCUGUGAUGAGUCAGGCUUUCUACACCUCUAAUCAUCCUUGCUACAAUCACCCAGAUCCUCUCCAGUUGCUACACACUCUUCUUGAAAUGAGGACCCGAAGCGGACACGCUACUGCUGCUUACCAACACUGAGCAGAGCAGAGCAUUUCUACACAUCAUGACUCCCAGAAGGACACCAUGAGCGGUAAAGUGGGAAUUUGCAUUACGCGUACCCGGCAAAGCCUGAGCUGCCGUAGUUAUAGGGCUACAAGAAGCUGCAGAGCUGCCAUCGCAUCACACGACGUGAGUCAUUACGUGUGAGCACAAAUUAUCCGAACUGGCACACAUGGCCCUGUCCCCAGGCCGGACCGUGUGACGUGAAAUUUAAGCUGGAAACUUCCUCUCUCACCCCGCGCUUGGCAGCGCUGCAGCCCCCCUGCAACCCUGGCCCCAGCGGGGGCCAGCCCUGGAGCCGGAGGGAGGCUGCAGCUCCUGCUGUCACCCAGCAUGCCGGCACAGCAGGGCGGGUGGCCCACAGCAAGUGGUCACAACAGCAGCCAGAGUCCGAUGGGGCUGAAUCUGUAGUAUGGAGUCAUGUGAAAUGGGUCCUCUCCUUAAUCCAGCUUCUAGUAUCCAUCAUUGCAUCAUCUUUUAGAAAUGAUUUAGAAAUCCCUCACACUGUGCAGUCUUACUGGUGAAAGCGGAAGGUGGAGCAAAUUUAGUUUCAUCAUUUUUGUUGUUUUAACAGAGCCUCUUGCUGCCUUUUUGAAUUAAUUGAAUUUUACAUGUGACAACCAGUAUGACCAACAGAGGACAGCACAUCCAUUUCUUUUAAUGAUCAAAAGAUCUUGAACUUGAAGCUGCCAUUCACUUUUUUCGCUCAGGAAGUGAGAGUGACAGGCAGAGUAGAGCAGUGUGCCGAGCCCUCUGCAGGAAGUGAAGCUGAAUUUCACAAAUCUUCCCUUUCUGACGUCUCCCGAAUUUCUAGGAAUGCCCCUUCCCUGUUACUAUAUUUGGAGGUAGUUUCUAGGAAAAAAAAAAA
This is a long non-coding RNA of Harpia harpyja (harpy eagle), 1951 nucleotides long. RefSeq lists it as uncharacterized. NCBI's taxonomy places the organism in Eukaryota, Metazoa, Chordata, Aves, Accipitriformes, Accipitridae. The record is from RefSeq and is a predicted model, not a curated record. The transcript has 4 exons.